Molecule: ribosomal RNA, 497 nt
Filed under: uncultured bacterium
Lineage: Bacteria
Description: partial 16S ribosomal RNA
Rfam family: Bacterial small subunit ribosomal RNA
Source: RNAcentral
GAUGAACGCUGGCGGCGUGCCUAAUACAUGCAAGUCGAGCGAACAGACGAGGAGCUUGCUCCUCUGACGUUAGCGGCGGACGGGUGAGUAACACGUGGAUAACCUACCUAUAAGACUGGGAUAACUUCGGGAAACCGGAGCUAAUACCGGAUAAUAUAUUGAACCGCAUGGUUCAAUAGUGAAAGACGGUUUUGCUGUCACUUAUAGAUGGAUCCGCGCCGCAUUAGCUAGUUGGUAAGGUAACGGCUUACCAAGGCAACGAUGCGUAGCCGACCUGAGAGUGUGAGUUGCCACCCCGGAACUGAGACACGGUCCAGACUACUACGGUAGGCAGCAGUAUGGUAUCUUCCGCAAUGGGCGAAAGCCUGACGGCGCAACGCCGCGUGAGUGAUGAAGGUCUUCGGAUCGUAACACUCUGUUAUUAGGGAAGAACAAAUGUGUAAGUAACUAUGCACGUCUUGACGGUACCUAAUCAGAAAGCCACGGCUAACUACGUG